CGCGUAGGCUGUUGAGUAAGUCAAAUGUGAAAUCCCCGGGCUUAACCUGGGAACUGCAUUCGAUACUGCUUAACUAGAGUAUGGUAGAGGGAAGUGGAAUUCCGGGUGUAGCGGUGAAAUGCGUAGAUAUCCGGAGGAACACCAGUGGCGAAGGCGACUUCCUGGGCCAAUACUGACGCUGAGGUGCGAGAGCGUGGGGAGCAAACA
RNAcentral lists this ribosomal RNA (207 nucleotides) under uncultured bacterium. Its description in RNAcentral is "partial 16S ribosomal RNA". It matches the Rfam family "Bacterial small subunit ribosomal RNA", at positions 568 to 774 of the family's 1533-position model. The record is from RNAcentral.